AUUCGCAUCACUUUUAAUGGUUUUUUAAAUUACACUAAAAAUUAAAAGGGAAUUUGGUGAAACUCCAAAACUGUUCCCGCAACUGUAAAAUUUAUAAAAACAGCAUUUAAAAUACCACUGUAACUAAAGUUAUGGGAAGGUUAAUGCUUGUUGAAUUAAGUCAGGAGACCUGCCAUUUAAAGCUAAAUAUU
Molecule: non-coding RNA, 191 nt
Filed under: Flavivirga aquatica
Lineage: Bacteria; Pseudomonadati; Bacteroidota; Flavobacteriia; Flavobacteriales; Flavobacteriaceae
Also listed under: 1 other name
Source: RNAcentral